AGAGAGAGAAAGCAAUUCUUGUAGGUAAGUCUCCCAUUACAGCAUGGCUCUGCAGUAGCAAAGUGUAAAAGUCAACAGAAAAGUUUCAGCAGAGAAAGUCAAAGCAGCACCCAAAAAUGCCUGCAGCCCCAGGAGAUGCCAGAGAGUCAAAAUUUUCCCAUUCCUCUAAGAUGCCAAGUGACCCGAAAGCCUCGGAUUUGUCUGCAUGACCUUUGAGGACCCACAAACCUGAGAACAGAGCAGGAUGCAGAUAUUGCAAGCACCGUGGUAGUCCCCAGGGAUCAAAGAACAACCUCCAUUGUAUUUUGAGUGUCACACCUACUGAUGACUCAGACUGAUGCCCGGAAGUUUCAAAAGUCCCCUGCCCCAGCUUGGAUCACCUGGUGUGGAUAAGGAAAAAAGAAAGGGGAGAGAGCACCCUGCAGUGACUGAUGACUUCCUCUCAAGGAGACUGGAUAAACAGUGACUAAGUUUAAUCUGACUGUCAAGCUUAACUUUUCCACUGUCAGUUUGUGAACUAAUUUAAGUUCAUUUACUGUGAAUAAAAGAGAGCUCCACUUUUUAACAUGUAAAAUUCAUAGCUGCUACAAUGUAACUGCAGUUUAGCUUUUGCUUCUCUUAUUUAGAUGUCACAUGUGCCCCAAAACCUCUGAAGCCAUUUCAUUAGGCAUUAGCUUGGGGAGAUCUAAGAGGAAAUGUGUUCUUUUGCAAUUUUAGGGAGAAAAAGUACUUAGUGGUGGUGUGUUACCACAGUGGAGUUGGAUUUACAAGCUGGCAUAGUGGAACUUCACCUUUCUACUUUGUGGGGAUUGAGAAAAUUGGUCAAGCGAACCCCGCAACAGAUAGGAGGCUGAAUAAUAAGUUACUUUCUUUCACAUGGGUUAAAAUCCAGAGACUUCGAUUAGGAAAAGCUCAACUGGAAGAGCAAAAACAAAAACAAAAAUACUAGAAAGAAAAUGGACUGAUGUUCAUAGCUUACCACAGAAUUAUCAGAGGGACUAAGAUAUUCUUCUAGGGAAGGGAUUUAUCAGCAUGUCUGAGAAUGAGUUUCUUUAAAGUUUUAAGAAAUAAAUACUUUGAGUCUGUGUUUGAAAGCAACAGAUAAAUUCAGAGUGAUUUGAGGUGAAGUCUUUGUGAAAAUGUUACUUGCCCCUUAAAAAAAGUUUUUUAUUUGUCUGGGUAGACUGUAUGGGGUCAUUGGCUGUCUGCUUAGGACCCCAGAGACAUGGGCGAUCAAUACAAGGGAGAUGUUUAUCAAGUCAAAGAUGAAUUCCUCAUCUGGAGGCAGUGUGAACAUUGUUAGACAUUGGAAGGGGUGAUUGGUGAGAGUGAUGGAGUCCCUGCUCAGGGUUAGGAAGACCAGGGAACAUUUUUAUUGGCCUUUUGGGUUUUAGAACACUUCAAGGUGAAAGGAAUAAAGAAGAUGAAGCAGCUGGGUCUGAUAGCAGGCUUGGUGGGUCAAUGCUAUACUAGGUUGUCUUUCAAUCUGAAUGACCUCUAUUUGAAAUUUAAAACAAUUAUAGAAUUUUCGCUUUAAAUAGUGGAUAACAAAAAUAGGUAAGAAUGGAGAGCAUUGGAAAAUAUGACUGACAUGGGGUAAGGGAAAUGGUCUCAUUAGUCUCAACAUUUUUUGGUUUUAAGAGUCAAUAUAUUUUUCAGAAAUUCAGUUGGAAGACAUUCCACUGAAUGGCUACAGAGGAUCAUCAAUG
This is a long non-coding RNA of Manis javanica (Malayan pangolin), 1709 nucleotides long. RefSeq lists it as uncharacterized. The record is from RefSeq and is a predicted model, not a curated record. Lineage: Eukaryota; Metazoa; Chordata; Mammalia; Pholidota; Manidae.